CAGUAGCCGCGGGAAUACGAAGGGUGCAAGCGUUACUCGGAAUUACUGGGCGUAAAGCGUGCGUAGGUGGUGGUUUAAGUCCGUUGUGAAAGCCCUGGGCUCAACCUGGGAAUUGCAGUGGAUACUGGAUCACUAGAGUGUGGUAGAGGAUAGUGGAAUUUCCGGUGUAGCAGUGAAAUGCGUAGAGAUCGGAAGGAACACCUGUGGCGAAGGCGACUAUCUGGGCCAACACUGACACUGAGGCACGAAAGCGUGGGGAGCAAACAGGAUUAGAUACCCCUGUAGUCCCUGUCUCUUAUAA
This 301-nucleotide ribosomal RNA is filed under the name uncultured bacterium. RNAcentral describes it as "partial 16S ribosomal RNA". It matches the Rfam family "Bacterial small subunit ribosomal RNA", at positions 509 to 809 of the family's 1533-position model. The record is from RNAcentral.